CAGGCUUAACACAUGCAAGUCGAGGGGCAGCAUGGUCUUAGCUUGCUAAGGCCGAUGGCGACCGGCGCACGGGUGAGUAACACGUAUCCAACCUGCCGUCUACUCUUGGACAGCCUUCUGAAAGGAAGAUUAAUACAAGAUGGCAUCAUGAGUCCGCAUGUUCACAUGAUUAAAGGUAUUCCGGUAGACGAUGGGGAUGCGUUCCAUUAGAUAGUAGGCGGGGUAACGGCCCACCUAGUCUUCGAUGGAUAGGGGUUCUGAGAGGAAGGUCCCCCACAUUGGAACUGAGACACGGUCCAAACUCCUACGGGAGGCAGCAGUGAGGAAUAUUGGUCAAUGGGCGCAGGCCUGAACCAGCCAAGUAGCGUGAAGGAUGACUGCCCUAUGGGUUGUAAACUUCUUUUAUAAAGGAAUAAAGUCGGGUAUGGAUACCCGUUUGCAUGUACUUUAUGAAUAAGGAUCGGCUAACUCCGUGCCAGCAGCCGCGGUAAUACGGAGGAUCCGAGCGUUAUCCGGAUUUAUUGGGUUUAAAGGGAGCGUAGAUGGAUGUUUAAGUCAGUUGUGAAAGUUUGCGGCUCAACCGUAAAAUUGCAGUUGAUACUGGAUAUCUUGAGUGCAGUUGAGGCAGGCGGAAUUCGUGGUGUAGCGGUGAAAUGCUUAGAUAUCACGAAGAACUCCGAUUGCGAAGGCAGCCUGCUAAGCUGCAACUGACAUUGAGGCUCGAAAGUGUGGGUAUCAAACAGGAUUAGAUACCCUGGUAGUCCACACGGUAAACGAUGAAUACUCGCUGUUUGCGAUAUACGGCAAGCGGCCAAGCGAAAGCGUUAAGUAUUCCACCUGGGGAGUACGCCGGCAACGGUGAAACUCAAAGGAAUUGACGGGGGCCCGCACAAGCGGAGGAACAUGUGGUUUAAUUCGAUGAUACGCGAGGAACCUUACCCGGGCUUAAAUUGCAGAUGAAUUACGGUGAAAGCCGUAAGCCGCAAGGCAUCUGUGAAGGUGCUGCAUGGUUGUCGUCAGCUCGUGCCGUGAGGUGUCGGCUUAAGUGCCAUAACGAGCGCAACCCUUGUUGUCAGUUACUAACAGGUUCCGCUGAGGACUCUGACAAGACUGCCAUCGUAAGAUGUGAGGAAGGUGGGGAUGACGUCAAAUCAGCACGGCCCUUACGUCCGGGGCUACACACGUGUUACAAUGGGGGGUACAGAGGGCCGCUACCACGCGAGUGGAUGCCAAUCCCAAAAACCUCUCUCAGUUCGGACUGGAGUCUGCAACCCGACUCCACGAAGCUGGAUUCGCUAGUAAUCGCGCAUCAGCCACGGCGCGGUGAAUACGUUCCCGGGCCUUGUACACACCGCCCGUCAAGCCAUGGGAGCCGGGGGUACCUGAAGUGCGUAACCGCGAGGAGCGCCCUAGGGUAAAACUGGUGACUGGGGC
RNAcentral lists this ribosomal RNA (1434 nucleotides) under uncultured organism. RNAcentral's name for it is "16S ribosomal RNA". It matches the Rfam family "Bacterial small subunit ribosomal RNA". The record is from RNAcentral.